AAGCUCGUAGUUGAAUUUCGGGGUUCUACCGUUGGUCGGGCUAACCAGUCUGUACUAGCGUGUAGAAUUCCUACCUUCUGGGGAACCAUCAUGUUAUUAAUUUAGCGUGGUGGGAAACCAGGACCCUUUACCUUGAAAAAAAUUAGAGUGUUCAAAGCAGGCUUACGUCUGAAUACAUUAGCAUGGAAUAAUAAAAUAGGACGGUGGUCCUGUUUUGUUGGUUUCUGAAUCACCGUAAUGAUUAAUAGGGAUAGUUGGG
RNAcentral lists this ribosomal RNA (259 nucleotides) under uncultured Scutellospora. RNAcentral describes it as "partial 18S ribosomal RNA". It matches the Rfam family "Eukaryotic small subunit ribosomal RNA", at positions 624 to 886 of the family's 1831-position model. The record is from RNAcentral. Lineage: Eukaryota; Fungi; Glomeromycota; Glomeromycetes; Diversisporales; Gigasporaceae.